UAGGUAACCUGCCCUGGACUUUGGGAUAACCCUCGGAAACGGGGGCUAAUACCGGAUAUGACGGCUCACCGCAUGGUGUGGUUGUGGAAAGUUUUUCGGUCUGGGAUGGGCUCGCGGCCUAUCAGCUUGUUGGUGGGGUGAUGGCCUACCAAGGCGACGACGGGUAGCCGGCCUGAGAGGGCGACCGGCCACACUGGGACUGAGACACGGCCCAGACUCCUACGGGAGCA
This 230-nucleotide ribosomal RNA is filed under the name uncultured bacterium. RNAcentral describes it as "partial 16S ribosomal RNA". It matches the Rfam family "Bacterial small subunit ribosomal RNA", at positions 118 to 347 of the family's 1533-position model. The record is from RNAcentral.